UAUCAGUAUUGUUGAAAAGACAUCCUUGCUCUUGUUUGUUUGUCCCCACACCCCUUCCUCUCUCUUUGUUAAGAGACUCUCUCCCCACCCCAACUUUCCAUCUCCAUUUUUUCUCACCCAAACAACUCCACCGUCAUGCAUCCCUCCCCCGUUCAGAUCCAAGCAUCCAACAUUGUUGAUGUACAGAUCCCGAGAUUAUGAUGGUGAGGGACAUCAACAAGUUUUUCGUUGUCCCACACCACCCUGCUUUGUCAAGAUCAAGCAGCACCACACACCCCUUGUCUGUUUAUCAAUUUUGGAUUUUGUUGAGCGAUUUAUGGGUUUGAGAGUGAGAUAUUUUGAAUUUGUGUUGUUGGAUUUGUGACUGUUAAUGGGUUUGAGAUGGUGAUCAGGGUUUUGUGGUGUCAAGGUGGUUGUUGUUCUGGUGAUCGGGGAUGUUGAACCAAUAACAAAAAUAUGAUUCUAUUAUUGUCCAGUAUAACGGAAUUAUGUUUCUAUUGUUGAGUAGAGGGCUAAAAAAAGUAAAAAUAACAAAAAUGCGAUUUUGUUGUACACUAUACAACAAAAUUGUAUUUUUGUUGUUUUAUUUUUUUUCGCCCCCAUGUGUACAACAGAAAUAUGAUUUCAUUGUAUAAGUCUACAACAAAAUCAUUUUUCUGUGGGAAGGUUAAUUUUGAAAUAACAUGAAAAUUCACCAACAUGGGUAGUUAAAAUAGCGAUUCUGGUAGUGCAAAUAGUAUCUUCCUACUAUAUGGUAAAAUUUUUAACUAUUGGCCCACUUACAUUUUUUGCGGCCAAUUUACUGUUGACCCAAAUUACAUUAUUUGUUGUUUUUUUCCUUACAAUUGCUAUUUCCACUUUUCCUUUUCUAAGGCACUCCUCAUUUAAAUUUGUUUACCCAUAAUAUACUCAUACUGAAAAAUAGACUCUAAAAUUUAUUUACACUCCCCUCUUUCUGGAAUUGUUGUUUUGGAUAAGCAAAAUCUUUAUUAAAAAAUCCAAAAAAGUACAAGAAGUGUCAAUUCAAGAAACCACGAUACAAAAAGAUUCAAGCAGCAUGAAUCGUAUAUGUUUCUCCACCUAAUACAAAAAUUCACAUCUAUCAAAAAGCUAUCCUUUUAUCUCUCUUUCAAUACUAACAAGCUUUACGCCAAUUGUGAAAUAAUGUCCUUGUCGCCAACUAAUUGCACCCAACAUUCUGACUUUCGAUACUCUAAAUAUUCUAUCCACUUUCAUCAUGGUCAAUAAAUCUUGUAAACUGCUUGGCCUUUUAAAUAUGUCUUGCUUGGGAGGCUUGAAGGGUAGACAGAUAUGUUGAGGUAGUGACAGAUGGGUGUGGAAAAGAGGUUCGUGGUCAUAUUGAGUUUUGGUAGGCAUGUUUUGUUGACCUUGUAUCAGGCAGUUCCAGGGGAUGUGUGGUGGCCUAUGGAGAUAGGCGGGAUUUGUGUGGCUUUAAUUAAAACAGAAGGAUCAGUUGGCCUGGACGUUUUAUCGAACAGUUGGAAGGCAUAAAUGCUGGUAAUGAAGAAUGAUGCUAGUGGUAUGUGAUUCUCGCUAUAUCCUGUUUACAUCAGAUCAGACAAGAAAGUUCAGAAUUGGACUUGGUCCAUGAUGUUGCGUGUUGUGUGUUUUCUCAAUAGAGAGAUCGAUAUCUUGGUGCAAUCCUGUUCGGGGUUUUUUAAUAGGCUGAGUUUGUGUGUUUCCUUGAACGCUAUUGUAGCUUUUAUCUUGGUGCAAUAUACUUGUAUCCAUACACUGCAAAUUAUUCUGCACAUCAUAAUGACUCAUUCCAUACACUAAUUGAUACUACGUUCUGAUUACUCCUCUCUUUAAUAGAGUAGUCUUCUGGAAAUUAGAUUCCGGAAAGAGGGGAGUGUAAAUAAAUUCCAGAAUCUAUUUUCCAGUUAGAGGGUGGUUUGGGUAAUCGAAUUUAAAAGGGUAGUGCAUUAGCAUAGAGGAGGAGUGGAAAUAACAAUUUUCUUCUUUUUCUGUAUAAAUCAUAGUACACCAUAGGGUUUAAUAAUUCUAAAUAAAAUUUUAGAAUUAUAAAGCUACAACAUAAAAAAUGAAAACAAUUCAUCAAAUUUAAUUAUAUCAUUUCAUAUAAAUAAUUGUAUAUGAUUCACUACUAAUUUUAAACUUAGCUUGUUCAUCGACUCCAUUAGAGUUCAUUUUAAUUACUUCAAUCAAUGAGUCAUAUUUAUGAAAUGCCUCUAAACAAUGUUUGUAUUAUACGUAUCUAAUUCAUUUGAAAUUCAGGUAGGACCCAAUGACAACUGGUUGUUUUGUGUCCUAUGUAGGAUGUUGUCGUUUGGUUCUAUUCGUUGCAUAAGAAACCUAAUGUUCAUACUAUUAACAAGUUUUAACAUAUAACUUAUAAUGUGAUCUUAUUAAACGUUGAUACAUAAAUAGUUUGUCCUUGUAUAUACGUUGAUGUUUUUUUGUAAGUAGUGCAAUGAACACAUUAAAGACUACUUUGCAUGGUCAUACUAAUCAAGCCGCACUUAAGUGGAUUGAAGUUAAGAGUCACAUUCAAACCGGAGGCUAUGAGUGUGGCUACUACGUCAUGCAUUGGAUGUGAAACAUAGUAAGCAGGGAGUUGAAGACUGAUUGGACCAUGUGGUUUGGUGAUGGCACGCCGUUAGACGAGACUAUGACAACAAUUUGCAAGAAAUGGACAACAUAUUUUUAGAAGUUAAAAACAUCCGAUGUAGAAAGUUAAACAUGACAUAGGAAGAUCGAAUGUGCUGUAUUCGAUACAAUUGUUUAAAUAUUGUAAACAAGUUUGUAGUAUUAUUGACAAUUAUGUGACAAUAAAUAUAUUAGAUUGUUGUGUGGUGCUUUC
Long non-coding RNA from Glycine soja, 2845 nucleotides. RefSeq lists it as uncharacterized. The record is from RefSeq and is a predicted model, not a curated record. The transcript has 3 exons. NCBI's taxonomy places the organism in Eukaryota, Viridiplantae, Streptophyta, Magnoliopsida, Fabales, Fabaceae.